RNAcentral lists this ribosomal RNA (1346 nucleotides) under uncultured bacterium. RNAcentral describes it as "partial 16S ribosomal RNA". It matches the Rfam family "Bacterial small subunit ribosomal RNA", at positions 26 to 1375 of the family's 1533-position model. The record is from RNAcentral.
ACAUUGAAGGUUGGCGGCAUGCUUAACACAUGCAAGUCGAACGGUAACGCGGGGGCAACCUGGCGACGAGUGGCGGACGGGUGAGUAAUACGUAGGAAUCUACCCAUUAGUGGGGGACAACCCGGCGAAAGCCGGGCUAAUACCGCAUACGCUCUACGGAGGAAAACGGGGGAUCGUAAGACCUCGUGCUAAUGGAUGAGCCUACGUCGGAUUAGCUAGUUGGUAGGGUAACGGCCUACCAAGGCGACGAUCCGUAGCUGGUCUGAGAGGACGAUCAGCCACACUGGGACUGAGACACGGCCCAGACUCCUACGGGAGGCAGCAGUGGGGAAUAUUGGACAAUGGGGGCAACCCUGAUCCAGCAAUGCCGCGUGUGUGAAGAAGGCCUGCGGGUUGUAAAGCACUUUCAGUGGGGAAGAAAAAAUCGGAGCUAACACCUCCGAGCUUGACGUUACCCAUAGAAGAAGCACCGGCUAACUCCGUGCCAGCAGCCGCGGUAAUACGGAGGGUGCAAGCGUUGUUCGGAAUCACUGGGCGUAAAGGGAGCGUAGGCGGCGUGGUAAGUCAGAUGUGAAAUCCCGGGGCUCAACCCCGGAACUGCAUCCGAUACUGCCAUGCUAGAGGAUUGGAGAGGUAGCUGGAAUUCUUGGUGUAGCAGUGAAAUGCGUAGAGAUCAAGAGGAACACUCGUGGCGAAAGCGAGCUACUGGACAAUUCCUGACGCUGAGGCUCGAAGGCUAGGGUAGCGAAAGGGAUUAGAUACCCCUGUAGUCCUAGCAGUAAACGGUGCACGCUUGGUGUGAGGGGAAUCGACCCCCCUUGUGCCGGAGCUAACGCGUUAAGCGUGCCGCCUGGGAAGUACGGUCGCAAGACUAAAACUCAAAGAAAUUGACGGGGACCCGCACAAGCGGUGGAGUAUGUGGCUUAAUUCGAUGCAACGCGAAGAACCUUACCAAGGCUUGACAUGCAUCUCUAAACACGUGAAAGCGUGUGACCCUUCGGGGAAUUUGCACAGGUGCUGCAUGGCCGUCGUCAGCUCGUGUCGUGAGAUGUUGGGUUAAGUCCCGCAACGAGCGCAACCCUUGUGAUUAGUUGCCAGCACGUCAAGGUGGGAACUCUAGUCAGACUGCCCAGAUCAACUGGGAGGAAGGUGGGGACGACGUCAGGUCAGUAUGGCCCUUACGCCUUGGGCUGCACACGUACUACAAUGCCCAGCACAAUGAGAACCGAGACCGCGAGGUGGAGGAAAUCUGCAAACUGGGCUCAGUUCGGAUUGGAGGCUGCACUCGCCUCCAUGAAGUUGGAUCGCUAGUAAUGGGGCAUAUUACGGCCCCGUGAUACGUUCCC